RNAcentral lists this ribosomal RNA (837 nucleotides) under Allodia sp. ER-18. Its description in RNAcentral is "SSU rRNA". It matches the Rfam family "Eukaryotic small subunit ribosomal RNA", at positions 490 to 1250 of the family's 1831-position model. Lineage: Eukaryota; Metazoa; Arthropoda; Insecta; Diptera; Mycetophilidae. The record is from RNAcentral.
UCACAUCCGAGGCCUUGUAAUUGGAAUGAGUACACUUUAAAUCCUUUAACAAGGAUCAAUUGGAGGGCAAGUCUGGUGCCAGCAGCCGCGGUAAUUCCAGCUCCAAUAGCGUAUAUUAAAGUUGUUGCGGUUAAAACGUUCGUAGUUGAACUUGUGUUUCGCACGGGCCGCUACCAAACGCCAGUUUACUGGUCUGGUAACUGGUCUUAUCUUGCCUUGGUUUUUAUCUCGGUAAAAGUGCGUGGACGUAUUAUCGGCGUGUUCGCUCUCGUAGCGUUCACAUAAGCUCAUUUCUGUGAUCUUAACCGAUUGUAGUUGUGAGCCGAUACAAAUUACUUUGAACAAAUUAGAGUGCUUAAAGCAGGCUUGUAAUGCCUGAAUAUUUUGUGCAUGGAAUAAUGAAAUAGGACAUCUGUUCUACUUUCAUUGGUUUUUUAGACCAAGAUGUAAUGAUUAAUGGAAGCAGUUGGGGGCAUUAGUAUUACAACGCGAGAGGUGAAAUUCUUAGACCGUUGUAAGACUGACUAAAGCGAAAGCAUUUGCCAAAGAUGUUUUCAUUUAAUCAAGAACGAAAGUUAGAGGUUCGAAGGCGAUCAGAUACCGCCCUAGUUCUAACCAUAAACGAUGCCAGCUAGCAAUUGAGUGUAGCUACUACUAUGGCUCUUUCAGUCGCUUCUCGGGAAACCAAAGCUUUUGGGCUCCGGGGGAAGUAUGGUUGCAAAGCUGAAACUUAAAGGAAUUGACGGAAGGGCACCACCAGGAGUGGAGCCUGCGGCUUAAUUUGACUCAACACGGGAAAACUUACCAGGUCCGAACAUAAAUGAGUAAGACAGAUUG